This 20-nucleotide microRNA is filed under the name Ananas comosus (pineapple). RNAcentral's name for it is "microRNA s0817_c112a". The record is from RNAcentral. Lineage: Eukaryota; Viridiplantae; Streptophyta; Magnoliopsida; Poales; Bromeliaceae.
AUCAUGAAAGGCUACCUCAC